RNAcentral lists this long non-coding RNA (3850 nucleotides) under Sus scrofa (pig). RNAcentral describes it as "lncRNA (ENSSSCG00030013102.1)". The record is from RNAcentral. Lineage: Eukaryota; Metazoa; Chordata; Mammalia; Artiodactyla; Suidae.
AUCUUCUGGUUAUGAAAGCAAAGAGGAAACAGAACUAGAAAAGUCAGAUGAUUCCACUGGGGUAAAGCAAAUACACUUUCUUGCUCUACACUCACUAGAGUGUCAUGGGUUUUCAGUUUCAAGCUCAAUUUAACUGAACAUUUUGGGCUCUAAGUUUCAUUUACUCAAGGCCAAACAAAACUUCCUCAUGGCAAAAAAAAAAAAGAAAGAAAAAGAAAAGAAAAAAGAAAGAAAUCAUAAAAGGAAAAAAAAUCUGAGGGAGGAAAGAAUGUCUACACAAAGAUUUCUGAACGGUAAUGUCUCUAACAGAACAAUAUCUUCAUGCAACAUGUGAAUAUAAAACAUAUGGGAUUAAUUAGAAUUGAAAAUGGGUUUCUAAAACUCUUUGGCCUAAAACUGUCCACUGAGCCUAUAAAAGGGCCACUACUCUACAUUAAAACUAACUCUUCUCCGAUCUCAUUUUUCUCUCAUUCUUUUCAUGUUACUAAUCUAUGAACAUCUGCCAAAACAGUGCCAGUCUCAGCAUUUAUUAAUCCUUAAUACCUUAUCUGGGAGUGGGACCACUUACCAAUUUGAAUUCUCUCAAAAUAAAAAUGAUCAAGUUGUCCCAAAGAAGAGGAAGAAGGAAUAGAAUGAGAGGCUAAUCUAGCCAUAACAACUCACAAAGGUUUAGUUCAGGAGGUUAAAAUCCAAACGCAGGUAACUGAAGGCAAAGAAGCAAACACAGCGAGCCCAGUUCUUCCCAACGUGUUGACACAAAGCUCCCAUUGACUUACCUGAAGGGCUCUGAAGAGGGCCCAAGGUUUAAUGCAUACGUUGGUUGGUAUGGUUGGUAUGCAUUAACUACCCAUUCCUAAGCACACGGUCAAAAACAUUCAAGUAUUUGCGACAUGGUCCUCUCUAGUUGUUGACCUGAAUUUUAGGUUAACAAGGAGUCGAAAUGAACAAGAGAACAAAGAGCAAACCUUAAUUAUUAAGUGGCUUUCCUUUUAAUGGUAAGCAAAGCAUCUUAAGAUUCUGGUGAACAGCUUAUAUCUCUUCCAAUGUCUCCUCUUCCUCACCCAUGUUCCCCAUCGUCUAUGUCCCCUGGCCUGUUCAACAAAAACUAUGAGACAGCUGGGGAAGAAGCAAAGAAUUCUGUUAAGUCCAAAUGGUAUGUGCCAAGUGUCAGGAUCAAAAGGCCUCAGAGCUUGGGCAACAGUCUGUAUCUUGCCAGGGUUAAUUGGCUAAUAGGGACCCAAUUGUUUCCAGCUAUCAAUGCACUACACAAAAUGCACAGUACUGCCUUCAGGUAUUAGAUGAAAACCCCAUAGGAGUAAGAUGUAAUCUGGAAGCUUAAAAUGAGUUUCGAAAAAGAGGGAAACCAACUUCACUAUAAAGGAAAAACGAACAAACAAACAAUCAAGCAUGAAUACGAAAAAGACUGGAUGGCAAGUCCAUAAACAUAAUGAAAUUGAGGAACGUCAAAGGGAGAAAGAUAAAGAUGGGUGUGAAAAAAACAGAAAAAAAGUGAUGUUUUGAAGCUUAACGGAAAUUUUAAAAGAAGAUCCUGGUUUUUCAGAGGGCUUUUAUUUAUUAACGUUGUUAUGUUUAGCUUUGGCAAAACAUAUGGAAAGGGUUUAACCACCAUGCCUGCAACUCAAGAUAUGGUGUCUCAACCCUGUGAAAUGCCAAAAGUACAGACAGUAUAGAUCUCUGCAUUUUUUGUUGUUUUUUUUUUUUUAUUUAUGUUAACUGAUUCCUCCUCAUUCUCAACCUAUUCAACAAAGACAUAAUCCUUUUCAUUUUCUGCAGCUGAGCCCCUUGAUAUGAUCAGCUUUAAGUUUUCAGUAGAAAAUAUUCAGCAGAGCUUAAAGAUUACAAGGUGAUUAUGCAAACCGAGAAAAAUAACUUACCAGGCAACAAUGAUAAAAGUUUCACAAUGACACACUUUCUGAGAUUAUCAUCUAUUGGAACUGCUAUAAAAAGAUUUUAAAGCGUCUCCAAUCUCAAGGUUAAAAACAAUAUUGGCAACUAAUCUGGAGACAGGAGAUUUAUUGCCUGGUUCUCUUGCAGAGAGGCUUCCAGACCACUUAAACUCCCUUUUCAGCUCAUCUUGGAACAUUCACAACCUCCUUUGGCUGCUACCAGAAGGAUAAUUUAUAAGUCAGUGGUUCUCAAACUGUGGUCACAGGACUAAAGGCAUUAGCCUCACCUGGGAACUUACAAAUUUAGAUUUUCACAUCCAUCCCUCCUCCUCUGAAUCAGAGACCUUGGAGUUGUCGCCCAGUUGUCUCUGUUUACCAAGCCUUCUAAGUGAUUGUAAUAUACACUCAAGUUUGGGAACCAUUGAUUUCAACAGAGAAUAUGAAAACUUCACAGCCUAGGUAAUAAGACCAAAGCAAAAUGGAAACUAAAAGUAUAUGAAUUAAGAAAAACAGAAAGAUAAAAAUGAAAAAAAAAAAAGAAGCAGCUGUGAGAGAACAGAAAGAGAUUUACAUUUUACAAAAAAAGGAAAAGUAUAUCAAAUGCCUUGUUUUCAUUUCUAUGACCUCGGUACCUUAGGUUAUUUAGCCAGUUUUGAAGAAAUAAGACUCAUUUUUUCUUAGAGACCAAAUAAUAUAUUUUUUUUUCAGUUAACACAAUCUGAAUAACAUUGAUUUCAGAUUGCAAUGAUCAGAGAUGUUAUUUUUAAAUCAAUUUCUGUGAAUAAGAACUCUUCUGUUAUUUGACUAUAUCUGUGAACCAACUUGUUUAAAGUAAUAUCCAUAUCCUGUGUUCAUAGAAAAUAUAUAUAAAUAUCAAGGAAUCUUUAGUCUGGUAAGAAUAGUCUGGAGAGAGCUGGGCUUCUCUACCACUACAGAGCUUUAAACUGUGUUAGAAAGCUUUUCUCCAGGCUUAGUAUUUAUUUACUUAUGAAGAAUAUGCAUAGUAAGAGCAGAGGUAGGUCACUCCGAAUUUUACCUAAAAAUCUAGCACUCCAAAGGUAUCCUGUCAUAUAUGAUGCUACCAACAAGCCAGCUAGGUUUCAUUGUAAAUAGUGGCAGUAACUAUUUACUCACAGACCCAGAGUCCCCAGAUAACCCAGUAUGCCUCAUCACCAUUGGAUUUAAUUCCUGAUUCAUGCACUGCCCAGCAAUCUUCUCAUUAUUCAUUCAGUAGACUAUUCAGAGAGCAGUUCUCUGCUUCAUUCAAUUAGUCUGGAAGGUUAAGUAUAUACAGGUAAACAAGAUAUGGCAGCCAAGGCUCAAAUGUGUCUAGUCUUGUGAUAAAGCCCAUGGUUCAUACCACUGUCCAUGUCCCUGCCUUCAUCUCACUAGAGAGGAAAUCAUUUUGUGGUGCAGUUCUGAUCCCUUCACUUUAGGGUAUCGUCCGGCACAAAUCUGAGAAGCUACAUGGGCUGAAGCACAGAAAGAUGGUAGCCAGAUGGGCUUUAGGUUGGCUAUCUUUACUUUUGAAAAGCCUUCUCUUAUCCCGUAAAUCUGCAUCAAUGAUAUCUCUACAUGGUCCCCUAGGGACCCUUCUGCACACUGUAAUCUAUUAGCCCAAUUCACUAGCCAACCAACUAAACUCUAAGUUCUCUAGUACCAAGUUGUGUUUGUCAUGUUGUAGUUAUAAGUGGCCCUAAUAGCAAGAUCCUUCCUUACAUAAUUAUUUAAGUGAAUAGGUGGAUAAAAAUACAAAUGCAUAGUAAGCUGCACCGUGGAUGAGAAAGCUUCUUUAACGUUAGGCUCACUGAGGCCACUGAACUUGAUAGUAAAUUUCCAAACUGUUUUCCUGAGUGGCUGUAUCACUUGACAUAAUCAUCAGCAUUGUAUGAUAUUUCCAGUUGCUCCACAUCAACACCAGCACUUAGUAUUUUCAUUAUUGA